AAAAUAAAGCAACAUAUAUAAAUAUUCAAGAAAUUUACUAGUUGUACUCAUUGUAUAAUCAACAUACAUAUUUAUUUAUAUUAUAUGCAUAUUAAAGAUUAUUCCACUCACCCGGAAAAUACUGAACUAAAGGAAUGUCAGACGAAAGACCCAAAAAUCCGAUUAAGGAUCGUUAGGAGAACCUACAAUAAAUAUAUGAAAUAUACUCAAAAACAAUCAAACAAAAGAUACCAAUGCAUAAAAUAAACCGGGCUUAAUCUCCAAGUUUAGGGACUAAAACGACAAUUUUCCAAAACAGGGACCAAAACGUAAUUUUACCAAAUUUGAGGACCGAACUGUAAAUAUAUAACCAUACUGAAAUUUAUCCAUAAUUAAUCCUCAAUUCUGUCCAGGAUAUAUCAUUAUGCUCCAAGGACCAUUCUGGAACUUUACCAAAUUUUUAGGGUCAAAUUAUACUUUUUGUCAAAUUGGAGGACCAAACUGAAAAUAUUAAUUAUACUGGAAUUUUGUCCUUAAAUCAUCCUCAGUUCUGUUCAGAACCUCAAUUUAUGCCCCAGGGACCAAUCUGUAAAAUUUCCAAAGUUCGGGGACUAAACUGCAACUUUCACAAAUUGAGGGACCAAACUGAAUUUUCGUCAUCUUCAACCUCAAACCCAGAAUUUCAACAGAUCACCUACUGUUAGUUCCAGAUUUAUACCUCAACUUCAUCAUUCAAUUCAACCAUAACUCAAAAUCAUCAUAUUUCUCUAUAAUCUCUCCAAUUCAACUAAAUAAUCAAAUACUCACAUCAAUCAACCCCUUAAUUCAAACUAAUUCAUCAAUAAACUCAAAAUUCAAAACUCUAAAAUUAAUCAAAAACCGAAAUUUAAAGCUAAAGAAAACAUAUUAUACAUAUUCAAGCAUAAUUCUUACCCUUUUACUUGUUUUCUUCAACCUUUUCCUUUUUCCCUUAUUUUCCCCUCUUUUCUCUUCUUCUUCUUCUUCCUCUCUUCUCUCCUGCCGGUUCUCUCUCCAAAUUCAGAUCCUUUUUUUUUUUUUUUCUUCUUAUAUAUAUUUAUCAACUAUUAAUCAAUUACCACAAUACCCUUCAAUCAUUUAUACUUACUCUUUAAGCCACAAAGGGCUUUAUUGUAUUUUCCAAUCUUUUUAACUCAAAAUAUUACAACGCGCUUUUAUUAAUGUUCAGAGCAUAAUGUCUGAUGUAAUACAACAAAUAUAACAAUGAUUCGCCAACAUCCAAAUCUAAUUAGAAACAAUAUAUCAUCUUCCCAGGAAGCUAUAAAAUAAAUAC
This 1291-nucleotide long non-coding RNA is filed under the name Populus tremula. Its description in RNAcentral is "long non-coding RNA (PTRE_LNC002808)". Lineage: Eukaryota; Viridiplantae; Streptophyta; Magnoliopsida; Malpighiales; Salicaceae. The record is from RNAcentral.